RNAcentral lists this long non-coding RNA (279 nucleotides) under Trifolium pratense (red clover). RNAcentral's name for it is "long non-coding RNA (TPRA_LNC012956)". The record is from RNAcentral. Lineage: Eukaryota; Viridiplantae; Streptophyta; Magnoliopsida; Fabales; Fabaceae.
AGUAGAGCUGUCAAUUUGUUGGGCUAAGCAAAUUUGGGCCCAGCCCCCAACAUAAAGGGGGCCUAAAUUUGAUAAUCAUAAUGAGCCCCAAAAAGACUAAGCCCCAAAAAGACUAAGCCCCAAAGUUAAAACAUAGGCCCCAAGGCUCAAAAUGGGCCCCAAAGCCCAAUUUUAUCCAAAAAAUCUGAGAAUUAAUUUUUUUUGGGAAUUUCGAUAACAAUAUUGUAAUUAAGAAUUGAAACCAACAGCUAAAAGUAGUAACAAUAUUGCCAUCUGGGN